ACUCCUACGGGAGGCAGCAGUGGGGAAUAUUGGACAAUGGGGGACCGUAGCAUCCAGCCAUGCCGCGCUGUGUGAAGAAGGCCUUAUGGUUGUAAAGCACUUUAAGCGAGGAGGAGGCUACUGAGACUAAUACUCUUGGAUAGUGGACGUUACUCGCAGAAUAAGCACCGGCUAACUCUGUGCCAGCAGCCGCGGUAAUACAGAGGGUGCGAGCGUUAAUCGGAUUUACUGGGCGUAAAGCGUGCGUAGGCGGCCAUUUAAGUCAAAUGUGAAAU
This 275-nucleotide ribosomal RNA is filed under the name uncultured bacterium. RNAcentral's name for it is "partial 16S ribosomal RNA". It matches the Rfam family "Bacterial small subunit ribosomal RNA", at positions 335 to 600 of the family's 1533-position model. The record is from RNAcentral.